UACAGGAUGACAAAUGGCGCCUCAUUGC
RNAcentral lists this small RNA (28 nucleotides) under Bombyx mori (domestic silkworm). RNAcentral describes it as "ovarian small RNA-5950". Lineage: Eukaryota; Metazoa; Arthropoda; Insecta; Lepidoptera; Bombycidae. The record is from RNAcentral.